AGGCGCCCACCUGGAGAACGAGGGAAUUUAUUUCAAGUUUUUAAGUUAUCAGGCACCCACCUGGAAAACGAGGGAAUUCAUUUCAGUUUUAAGUUAUAGGCGCCCACCUGGAGAACGAGGGAAUUAAUUUCAAGUUUUAAAGUCAUCAGGCACCCACCUGGAGAAUGAGGGAAUUUGUUUUAAUUUUUAAGUCAUUAUCAGGCGCCCACCUGGAGAACGAGAAAAUUUAUUUCAAGUUUUAAGUUAGCAUCAGGCGCCCACCUGGAGAAUGAGGAAAUUUAUUUCUGUUUAAGUCAUCACAGGCGCCCACCUGGAGAAUGAAGGAAUUUGUUUCAAGUUUUUAAGUCAGCAGACGCCCACCUGGAGAAUGAGGGAAUUUAUUUCGAGUUUUAAGUCAUCAGGUGCCCACUUGGAGAACGAGGGAAGUCAUUUAAGAAUUC
Molecule: long non-coding RNA, 440 nt
Filed under: Nicotiana tabacum (common tobacco)
Lineage: Eukaryota; Viridiplantae; Streptophyta; Magnoliopsida; Solanales; Solanaceae
Description: long non-coding RNA (NTAB_LNC010543)
Source: RNAcentral